GCAUUGAUCCAUGCUCCACUUCUUAUUAUAUAAUAUGUAGUAACUCUGCAGAUAAAUAACUUAAACAAAAGCUAUUUUAAUAUAUAAAUGGGUUUACUUUACGUUAAAUCAUGUCACAAUCAAAUAGCAGAUGAUUAGCUCCCCUUAACCAACUUGAUUAAUUUGACCUACUGAACUUUUAUUUUAAAACAUCAGGAUCUUCAGAAGCUCAUGCUCUGAUAACUGGAGUGAUUGCAGCACUGAGUGUCACAUUUCUGCUCAUUUUCUUUCUGGCCUUGCUGUGGUGCUGCAAACACAACAAAGGUGCAGGAUCUCCGUCUUUCUCUACUGACCAUCAGCCACAAAAAAUCCGACAGACAUCAGAACAGAAGAAGAGUGGACAAACACCACUGCAGUCCGAUACCAUAUAUGGACCUUCUGAUGUGACCUACGUAAAGAUUGACCUGAAAUCAUUGAAUGAAAUUAAGAAGAAAAAGAAAGAAAACAAAGGAAAGGAGAGUUCUGACACGGUUUACUCCAAACUGAAGAUUUAAGGUGAAGUAUACUAAAAACAAUGCAAAAUAUCAUAAUAUAAGGCAGUUACAUGUUUUAUACUUGUGAAUUAAUUUGUAUAAUUUCAGGUUCUGUUGCUGGAUCUAUAUGAUGAAUACUCAAUUUUUAUCAACAAUGGAAUUCAAAAAUGUAUCAAAUGUUGGUGACUUGGAUAUAUUAUCCUAAUUCUUAAUCGAAUUGUUUAAAUUAUUCACCAUAACAUGCAUACAUUCAUAAUCCAUGAUAUUUUAAAACUAGAUUUGUGUCAGCACAACACACAAUCCUUCUAACCGCUGAUACACUGGGUGCAUAAGCAUUCAUCUUACAUAACUGUUACAUUACUAAUAUGUCUAACAAAAUAUUAAACAUUAUAAGAAAAUAUGUCAUGGUCUAUGUUCAUGUAUUGAUCUUUCCUCUCAUUGUCCACUAGAUGUCAUCAUAGAGACGAUUUGGUAGUUUCAUCCAUAUUUUACUGUGUGCUAGUUUUUGAUCAUCUUAUUUUGGUAUUUACUGCGUGUUUGUCCUCUUACUUUCAUACCUGCACUGUUUGUACUUUAAUCAUGUAUGUUAAUAAAAUGUAUUUUCCAAA
Long non-coding RNA from Cyprinus carpio (common carp), 1120 nucleotides. RefSeq lists it as uncharacterized. Lineage: Eukaryota; Metazoa; Chordata; Actinopteri; Cypriniformes; Cyprinidae. The record is from RefSeq and is a predicted model, not a curated record. The transcript has 4 exons.